UCCGAGAAGUUGACAAAGGGGAACUUCCUCUUGUGGAAAGCUCAGGUGAUGCCCGGCCUGCGAGGAGCGCAGGUUACAGGGCUUCUCGAUGGAAGCGAAGCCGCGCCCCCAACAACGGUGGAGCAGCAGCAGUCGGACAAGACAACAGCUGUAGUACCAAAUCCACUGUACGGGCCAUGGUUGUCGAAGGAUCAACAGGUCCUAAGCUAUCUGUUGAAUUCACUAUCCAAGGAGAUCCUUGCUCACGUCAUUGGUAAGGAAAACAUAUAUGAUCUAUGGACUGCAAUUACUACUAUCUUUGCAUCGCAGUCACAAUCCAGAAUUACGAAUCUACGGAUCGCCAUUGCCAACACGAAGAAGGGCACCAUGUCCGGCAGCACCUACAUCGCCAAGAUGAAGAACCUCGGGGAUGAGCUUGCAGCAGCAGGUCGCCCGGUUAGUGACCCUGAGAUGGUGGACUACGUUCUUGCGGGCCUUGACCGAGACUAUGAUCCGGUUGUAGCAGCAAUUGGCGCUGUCAAAUCUGCCAUCACCGUGGAUGAUCUCUUCGCCCAGAUUUCUGCUUUUGAUCAG
RNAcentral lists this ribosomal RNA (573 nucleotides) under Triticum aestivum (bread wheat). Its description in RNAcentral is "partial small subunit ribosomal RNA". The record is from RNAcentral. Lineage: Eukaryota; Viridiplantae; Streptophyta; Magnoliopsida; Poales; Poaceae.